ACUCCGUUAGCUCAGCCGGUAGAGCAAAUGACUCUUAAUCAUUGGGUCGGGGGUUCGAACCCCUCACGGAGUACCA
Molecule: transfer RNA, 76 nt
Filed under: Mycoplasmataceae bacterium
Lineage: Bacteria; Bacillati; Mycoplasmatota; Mollicutes; Mycoplasmatales; Mycoplasmataceae
Description: tRNA-Lys
Rfam family: tRNA
About the family: Transfer RNA (tRNA) molecules are approximately 80 nucleotides in length.
Source: RNAcentral